GACGAACGCUGGCGGCGUGCCUAAUACAUGCAAGUCGAACGCUGAAGGAGGAGCUUGCUUCUCUGGAUGAGUUGCGAACGGGUGAGUAACGCGUAGGUAACCUGCCUGGUAGCGGGGGAUAACUAUUGGAAACGAUAGCUAAUACCGCAUAAUAGUAGAUGUUGCAUGACAUUUGCUUAAAAGGUGCAAUUGCAUCACUGCCAGAUGGACCUGCGUUGUAUUAGCUAGUUGGUGGGGUAACGGCUCACCAAGGCGACGAUACAUAGCCGACCUGAGAGGGUGAUCGGCCACACUGGGACUGAGACACGGCCCAGACUCCUACGGGAGGCAGCAGUAGGGAAUCUUCGGCAAUGGACGGAAGUCUGACCGAGCAACGCCGCGUGAGUGAAGAAGGUUUUCGGAUCGUAAAGCUCGGUUGUAAGAGAAGAACGAGUGUGAGAGUGGAAAGUUCACACUGUGACGGUAUCUUACCAGAAAGGGACGGCUAACUACGUG
Molecule: ribosomal RNA, 495 nt
Filed under: uncultured bacterium
Lineage: Bacteria
Description: partial 16S ribosomal RNA
Rfam family: Bacterial small subunit ribosomal RNA
Source: RNAcentral